CGCCCAAGAAGAAAUUUUAGGAAGCAAAAAUGGCCUGGAAAACGGAUACUGACCUCGAAAAUUCCGACCCAAUUUCAGAAUCCGGCGAUGUUGAGUGGCCUUGUAAACCCGUCGUUGAAUCGUCAGGCUGGCCUACUAGCUGGCAAAACGACAGUAACAAAUCAAAGCUACAAACCCCUUUACCUACCGCCGAAGACGAAGCUGCGAACAACAGUCAACUUCCGGCAUUGCUCAAAGUUGCUGAAUAUUUGAACUCCACACUCAGUCUCGACGACGAUGACGAGUUUUCUGAGUAUAUAGGUGAAAAUGGGGAUUAUUUCAUCAAUGACGAUGAGGGUUUUCUGGAUGGGGAAGAGGGGUUUCAGGACUAUGAUUUUUUUGUGAAGUUGUUCAAGCAGGAUGAUGGG
This 407-nucleotide unclassified non-coding RNA is filed under the name Hevea brasiliensis (rubber tree). The record is from RNAcentral. Lineage: Eukaryota; Viridiplantae; Streptophyta; Magnoliopsida; Malpighiales; Euphorbiaceae.